This 520-nucleotide ribosomal RNA is filed under the name uncultured Glomus. RNAcentral's name for it is "SSU rRNA". It matches the Rfam family "Eukaryotic small subunit ribosomal RNA", at positions 569 to 1091 of the family's 1831-position model. The record is from RNAcentral. Lineage: Eukaryota; Fungi; Glomeromycota; Glomeromycetes; Glomerales; Glomeraceae.
AGCAGCCGCGGUAAUUCCAGCUCCAAUAGCGUAUAUUAAAGUUGUUGCAGUUAAAAAGCUCGUAGUUGAAUUUCGGGAUCAAUAUAUUGGUCGUGCCUUCGGUACGUACUGGUAUCGUUGAUUUCUACCUUCUGACGAACCAUGAUGUCAUUUAUUUGGUGUCAUGGGAAAUCAGGACUGUUACUUUGAAAAAAUUAGAGUGUUUAAAGCAGGCACACGCUUGAAUACAUUAGCAUGGAAUAAUGAAAUAGGACGUUUGACCCUAUUUUGUUGGUUUCUAGGAUCGACGUAAUGAUUAAUAGGGAUAGUUGGGGGCAUUAGUAUUCAAUUGUCAGAGGUGAAAUUCUUGGAUUUAUUGAAGACUAACUACUGCGAAAGCAUUUGCCAAGGAUGUUUUCAUUAAUCAAGAACGAAAGUUAGGGGAUCGAAGACGAUCAGAUACCGUCGUAGUCUUAACCAUAAACUAUGCCGACUAGGGAUCGGAUGAUGUUAAUUUUUAAUGACUCAUUCGGCGCCUUAC